Molecule: non-coding RNA, 43 nt
Organism: Gossypium arboreum
Lineage: Eukaryota; Viridiplantae; Streptophyta; Magnoliopsida; Malvales; Malvaceae
Source: Rfam
ACGGCCUUUUUCAAGGCCACCACUUGUUACAACUUCAUGCAAU